GUCAGUGUGGCCUGCAGGGAGUUACACGGUAAUCCCGUAAAUAAGCUUGCUUUAUGUGAUCCAUAUCCAGUAAUGGCAAGUGUGCUUCUGGUGAUUCUGGUAAUUAUGCCAGGUGUUUGGAGUGGAGAUUGGAAGGUGACCUUCAAUAACCAAUGUGGUUUCAGAGGAGCAUCAGCAGUUAUUAAAUGCUCUUAUGACUAUCCUUUGCUUCAAAUUGUCACCUCAGUCUUCUGGUUUAGA
Myripristis murdjan (pinecone soldierfish) is the source of this 240-nucleotide long non-coding RNA. RefSeq lists it as uncharacterized. NCBI's taxonomy places the organism in Eukaryota, Metazoa, Chordata, Actinopteri, Holocentriformes, Holocentridae. The transcript has 3 exons. The record is from RefSeq and is a predicted model, not a curated record.